GAAGAUAUAUUGGCAGAUGAUCCUCCACAAUAUACUUCAUAGGCAAGAUAUUUUCAGAUGCACAGCUGCAUUGUUUUGUCUGCAAUUUUCUGCUUUCAUUUCAGUCUUUGGGAGAAGACAAAAAAUUGUUCAACUGCGUACCAAGCAUGUCUGUGGACUUUGGAGCAAUCAAACUGUCCCCAGUGAAAAACCAAAAAUGCUUUGGAGAUUGUUACUGUCGCCUUUUAUUUGCUCCUUACGAGAUUAUGCCUACCAAAUUUUGAGUUUGAGCAAUAAAGAUUGAACAGAAAUCGAGAAAGUUUACAUCACCAACUCGAGCUUUGAGCCCUCAAGUUCUCAUCACGUUGCCAACAUUUGUUAGGAAUGUGUCGUAGAACCAGAAGGACUAGAAGAGUUGAAGAGGCCAAGAGUUGGCAGCAUGUUCUGGAAUUGUGACAGAAGUUAGUAGAAGAUCGGCUGAAGUUUCUGUGCGCAGUUGUGAGGAAGAGAGAAGCAUAGGGGAGCAAGCUGGUAACAGAAUGACAUGUGCAAAUAGAAACAGGCGAGAAUCUAUAAAUAAAGAAGAGAAGGAAGAAUAGGGGCAUGCAGAUAUCAUUGAGUUGAAUUGCAACUAUAAGCUGCAGCUAGCUUUUUAUCUUCUUGCUUCUUUGUACUGUUAUAUUCCAACAGUGUUAUCGCCAUUAGAGAAUUGUUGAGGAAGAGAGUUGUCAUUGUAACUAAGAUAUUUGUUUGUAAACGUUCUGCCAUUUCAUUUGAAUACAAACUCAUAUAU
This is a long non-coding RNA of Hevea brasiliensis (rubber tree), 772 nucleotides long. RefSeq lists it as uncharacterized. NCBI's taxonomy places the organism in Eukaryota, Viridiplantae, Streptophyta, Magnoliopsida, Malpighiales, Euphorbiaceae. The record is from RefSeq and is a predicted model, not a curated record. The transcript is spliced from 3 exons.